This is a long non-coding RNA of Molossus molossus (Pallas's mastiff bat), 523 nucleotides long. RefSeq lists it as uncharacterized. NCBI's taxonomy places the organism in Eukaryota, Metazoa, Chordata, Mammalia, Chiroptera, Molossidae. The record is from RefSeq and is a predicted model, not a curated record. The transcript is spliced from 5 exons.
UAAAUUUAAGUGCUAUGAAGAAAAAUAAUAAAAAGAGACAAGAAUCAUCUGGAUGUUGGCAGUUUUUAAUUUCUAUUUGCAAUUUUCAUCAUAACCUGUGUAAUAAACCACCUAUAAAUUGAUGACUUACAACACCAGAUAUGUCUGUGAGUUUUCCAGGAUUCAAAUAAUUCAGACUAGACGUGGCUUCAGUUGGUGGCUCAGUUUCAGUAGUAACAAGAUAAUUGUCAAAAUAUGAAUAAACCCUAGACUCAUCAGCUUUCUACUGUGUCAUACCUAUAUAAUUUAAGGAUGAAAUUUGAGGAAUGCUAGCAAAGAAAACUCCCUUCCUUUCCCUGUUGACGAGAUAUGGCCUUAAAUAUUUCAAGCCUUUUGGAUCAAAUCAGAUGAGGUUAAUCCACAGAGAGAUUUUUACCAGAUGGUGUCCUGAAGUUUCCUUUUUUGGAUUCUCUCUAAUUCAUCACUGCCUCUCCUGAAAAUGUGGUGCCCAGAAUAAAUCUCAGUGUUCCCAGCAUGAUUGGAC